AGAACGAACGCUGGCGGCGUGCUUAACACAUGCAAGUCGAACGAGAAGUACGUAGCAAUACGUAUUGUAAAGUGGCGCACGGGUGAGUAACACGUGGGUAAUCUGCCCCCGAGCUUGGGAUAACCCCGCGAAAGCGGGGCUAAUACCGAAUAAGACCACGGGGACCAAAGUCCCUGCGGUAAAAGAUGGCCUCUAUUUAUAAGCUAUCUCUUGAGGAUGAGCCCGCGGCCCAUUAGCUAGUUGGCGGGGUAACGGCCCACCAAGGCAAUGAUGGGUAGCUGGUCUGAGAGGACGAUCAGCCACACUGGAACUGAGACACGGUCCAGACUCCUACGGGAGGCAGCAGUGGGGAAUAUUGCGCAAUGGGCGAAAGCCUGACGCAGCAACGCCGCGUGGGGGAUGAAGGUUUUCGGAUUGUAAACCCCUUUCGAUCGGAACGAAUCUCCUCCUGGUAAAUAAUCAGGAGGGUUGACGGUACCGGGAGAAGAAGCCACGGCUAACUCUGUGCCAGCAGCCGCGGUAAGACAGAGGUGGCGAGCGUUGUUCGGAUUUAUUGGGCGUAAAGCGAACGCAGGUGGUUUGGUAAGUCAGGGGUGAAAGUUCGCAGCUUAACUGCGACACUGCCUUUGAUACUGCCUUUCUUGAGUGCAUGAGGGGGAAGCGGAAUUCCGAGUGUAGAGGUGAAAUUCGUAGAUAUUCGGAGGAACACCGGUGGCGAAGGCGGCUUCCUGGCAUGUAACUGACACUCAUGUUCGAAAGCGUGGGUAGCAAACAGGAUUAGAUACCCUGGUAGUCCACGCCCUAAACGAUGGGCACUAGGUGUGGGAGGUAUCGACCCCUUCCGUGCCGCAGCUAACGCAUUAAGUGCCCCGCCUGGGGAGUACGGCCGCAAGGGUG
This 897-nucleotide ribosomal RNA is filed under the name uncultured bacterium. Its description in RNAcentral is "bacterial SSU rRNA". It matches the Rfam family "Bacterial small subunit ribosomal RNA", at positions 26 to 896 of the family's 1533-position model. The record is from RNAcentral.